RNAcentral lists this small nucleolar RNA (58 nucleotides) under Euglena gracilis. RNAcentral describes it as "Eg-m104.1 box C/D methylation-guide". The record is from RNAcentral. Lineage: Eukaryota; Euglenozoa; Euglenophyceae; Euglenales; Euglenaceae.
UUCAUGAUGCUUUCAAACACUGAGUUUUCUGAUUGUCAUGAAGUCAAAGCUUUCCUGA